UGAGUACGAGAUGCUACGGCAUCGAAGCAGUCUAUGUCAUACUUCCAAGAAAAGCUUGCACUGUCAGAAACAGAUAAUGCCUGUACCAUAACCGACACAGGUGGGUAGGUAGAGUAUACUAAGGGGCGCGAGAUAACUCUCUCUAAGGAACUCGGCAAAAUGACUCCGUAACUCCGGGAGAAGGAGUGCCUUAUUUUUAAGGUUGCAAUAACAAGAUCCAAGCAACUGUUUACCAAAAACACAGGUCUCCGCUAAGUCGUAAGACGAUGUAUGGGGGCUGACGCCUGCCCAGUGCCAGAAGGUUAAAGAAGUCGGUUAGCAUUCGCGAAGCUGGUAACUGAAGCCCUGGUGAACGGCGGCCGUAACAAUAACGGUCCUAAGGUAGCGAAAUUCCUUGUCGGGAAAGUUCCGACCCGCACGAAAGGCGUAAUGAUUUGGAUACUGUCUCGGAGAGGGGCUCGGUGAAAUAGACUUGUCUGUGAAGAUGUGGACUACCUGCACCUGGACAGAAAGACCCUAUGAAGCUUUACUGUAACUUGAAAUUGAAAUUGGACUUUAUUUGCGCAGUAUAGGUGGGAGGCGUUGAAAAUAUUCUUGCGGGAAUAUUGGAGCCAUCAGUGAGAUACCACUCUUGUAAUGUUAGAUUUCUAACUUUAUAUCAUUAUCUGGUUAAAGAACAGUUUCAGGCGGGCAGUUUGACUGGGGCGGUCGCCUCCCAAAUGGUAACGGAGGCGCACAAAGGUUUCCUCUGAACGGGUAGAAAUCGUAUCUAGAGUGUAAAGGCAUAAGGAAGCUUGACUGUGAGACCUACAAGUCGAGCAGGGACGAAAGUCGGUCUUAGUGAUCUGACGGUGCUGAGUGGAAAGGCCGUCACUCAACGGAUAAAAGUUACUCUAAGGAUAACAGGCUGAUCUCCCCCAAGAGUUCACAUCGACGGGGAGGUUUGGCACCUCGAUGUCGGCUCAUCGCAUCCUGGGGCGGUAGUACGUCCCAAGGGUUGGGCUGUUCGCCCAUGAAAGCGGUACGCGAGCUGGGUUCAGAACGUCGUGAGACAGUUCGGUCCAUAUCCGGUGUAGGCGUUAGAAUAUUGAGAGGAGCCUUCUUUAGUACGAGAGGACCGAGAAGGACAUACCUCUGGUGUACCAGUUAUCGUGCCAACGGUAAACGCUGGGUAGCUAUGUAUGGAGUGGAUAACCGCUGAAAGCAUCUAAGUGGGAAGCCCACCUCAAGAUAAGUAUUCUCAUG
This 1245-nucleotide ribosomal RNA is filed under the name metagenome. Its description in RNAcentral is "bacterial LSU rRNA". It matches the Rfam family "Bacterial large subunit ribosomal RNA", at positions 1564 to 2818 of the family's 2925-position model. The record is from RNAcentral.